GGGACACUCAAAUGUGGCAGCGCUCUUCUGUAAUCAAGGUAGAAAGUGCUACGACAUUUGAGGGUCGC
This is a non-coding RNA of Dipodomys ordii (Ord's kangaroo rat), 68 nucleotides long. NCBI's taxonomy places the organism in Eukaryota, Metazoa, Chordata, Mammalia, Rodentia, Heteromyidae. The record is from Rfam.